AGAGUUUGAUCCUGGCUCAGAUUGAACGCUGGCGGCGUGCCUAACACAUGCAAGUCGAGCGGUAACAGGUGUAGCAAUACAUGCUGACGAGCGGCGAACGGGUGAGUAAUGCAUUGGAAUCUUCCCAGUAGUGGGGAAUAACCAGUCGAAAGAUUGGCUAAUACCGCAUACGUCUGUAAAGGGAAAGCGGGGGCUCGUAAGACCUCGCGCUAUUGGAUGAGCCAAUGUCGGAUUAGCUAGUUGGUGGGGUAAUGGCCUACCAAGGCGACAAUCCGUAGCUGGUCUGAGAGGACGACCAGCCACACCGGAACUGAGACACGGUCCGGACUCCUACGGGAGGCAGCAGUGGGGAAUAUUGGACAAUGGGGGAAACCCUGAUCCAGCGACGCCGCGUGUGUGAAGAAGGCCUGCGGGUUGUAAAGCACUUUUAGUGGGGACAAAAAGCUACGGACUAAUAUUCUGUGGUCUUGAUUUAACCCAAAGAAAAAGCACCGGCUAACUCUGUGCCAGCAGCCGCGGUAAUACAGAGGGUGCGAGCGUUAAUCGGAAUUACUGGGCGUAAAGCGCGCGUAGACGGUUUUGUAAGUCAGAUGUGAAAUCCCUGGGCUCAACCUGGGAACUGCAUUUGAUACUGCAUGGCUAGAGUAUCGAAGAGGGAAGUGGAAUUUCCGGUGUAGCGGUGAAAUGCGUAGAUAUCGGAAGGAACACCAGUGGCGAAAGCGACUUCCUGGUCGAAUACUGACGUUCAUGUGCGAAAGCGUGGGGAGCAAACAGGAUUAGAUACCCUAGUAGUCC
This 795-nucleotide ribosomal RNA is filed under the name uncultured bacterium. Its description in RNAcentral is "bacterial SSU rRNA". It matches the Rfam family "Bacterial small subunit ribosomal RNA", at positions 8 to 796 of the family's 1533-position model. The record is from RNAcentral.